UCGGGGUGCGGUUAUUUUUUCUCAUCUUAGUUUACUAUUUUGGCGCGAUUUUGACAAUUUCUGGCGCAUUCCACUUAUUUACUUUAGCGGCCAUAGAGCAAUGGUUUACUAACGGGAAAUGUGAUGGAUUGCAGCAGCAAUGCUUGGAAUAUAAAGAAGAAGUGAAGCAAUUAUGUUACCUAUUAUUUUUUAUAAAGACAGAAGGAACGUGGAAGAAAAAACAUUUUGUGCAGCAUGUGAAAUCAAGGAAAUAAAAUGGAAGAAGGGCUGCUACUUUUCAUGCGCCCGAAACCAGCCACCUCAUCAUCAUAGCAUGUUGCAUUGGAGCUCUGCUGGAGUUUGCUGAUGACAGGAUGCUGAAGGGCUGAAGCUGGUAGCUCUGGCAGGAGUCCAGUGUCCACCAGCUCAAGAUCCGACGCCCCCGCGUCGCCGCCGUGCGGCCCUCCGCGGAGACGGGGACGGCGGUCAUGAUUGAAGACACCGCAUUUCCCGCCUGGACUGUCCGGUCGGAGACUGGUAAUCCCUCCGGUGAGCCGCACACCGUGGAGCUACUGCACCGCGCGUGUCCACCCGCAGCGCAAUGCCAGCGACAAUGCCGUGAGUGCGACAUCUGCGUGCAUAUGACGCAGUGCGACUGUCACGACUCGCGGCUCAGUGUUCUGUCAGUGUGACAGUGCGGUUUAGUGUGACAGUGCGGUUUAGUGUGACAGUGCGUUUUUUUUUUAAACGUGCGCUCGCGCUCGUUUUAGCGAGGUGCUCUGUUGUAUAUAACCACCUUGAUGGAGACCUAUGUGCUGCCGCUUGAGUUUCAAUGUACAGUUUUAUGCAUCAAACUAGCGUAAGUAAACGGCUGUCAGAGGUCACUUUGAAGCGCAAUUAGUACCCAUAACCCAGCUGGGUUGAGCGAGUCAUGUGACUAGUCCCGAUGAACGUACUGUUUCGAUGUCGUCAGUCGUAGACUUUUGUAAACCAUUCGUUUCGGAGCUCUGUGUUGUGUUGUUCGGGACCGCAGUUGUUUGAGCAGUUUGCUUUAUGCGUCGUACGCUGACAGAACGCUGGUCGUACACAAAUCAUGUGUUUCCUUUCACCCCUAAUGGGUUACUGCGGUACCUACCUAUGCAGUUGGAAUGUGUCUCGAGACACUAACUGGUCGCACUUGGUUGUGAAAAUGACACUAGCUGGUCGCACUUGGUUUCAAGCUGCGCUUGGAAAUCGUGCAAUUCUAUUUGCAUUUUGCAAUGCAAUUUUAUUGCCGUUACCGUAUUGGUAGAUAGUGUCAGAAGUUGGCCAUUUGAUACGUUGUCACUUGUCAGACGCUGUUGCCUUAAAACUGACAAAUUGAUGGGCCGCGUUUGUGUUCCUGUUAAGAAACGGAUCUCAAUAUAAAGUGAUUCAGAGGUAGGAACCUGAAUGCAUUCGUUCAGA
Molecule: long non-coding RNA, 1425 nt
Filed under: Amphibalanus amphitrite
Lineage: Eukaryota; Metazoa; Arthropoda; Thecostraca; Balanomorpha; Balanidae
Description: uncharacterized LOC122386517
Source: RNAcentral